CCCUCCUGGCAACCAAGAACGGCUUCAAAAAGACAAUUCUGCUGAAGAGCAGCUCCUGUGCACAGGCUAGCAGGGCUGAGGGCACUGCCUGCAGCCUCCCCUGGCACAGCACAGAGAGCUUCAAUCAGUCAGGGCUGGGAAGAUGCUCAGAAGUGACUGGGGCAGAAUCACUCCCAGCCCUUGACACAGGAAGACUCUGGCUGCAGGACAAUGCAGCUGCAGCUCCUGCAGUGAUCUUCUAAAGCUGGAACAUCCCAAUGCCUACAGACACUGUUUUUUACAGAUCCCCAUGCCAAGAUACAGCAAAUGUCCAACAGCAGCUCCAUCAGCCACUUCCUCCUGCUGCCAUUGGCAGACACGCGGCAGCUGCAGCUCCUGCACUUCUGCCUCUUCCUGGCCAUCUCCCUGGCUGCCCUCCUGGGCAACGGCCUCAUCAUCAGCACCGUAGCCUGUGGCCAUCACCUGCACACCCCCAUGUUCUUCUUCCUGCUCAACCUGGCCCUCAGUGACCUGGGCUCCAUCUGCACCACCACCCAAAGCCAUGCACAAUUCCCUCUGGAACACCAGGACCAUCUCCUACCCAAGAUGUGCUGCACAGCUCUUUUUCCUUCUGGUCUUCCUUGAUGCACAGUAUUUCCUUAUGUGACCCAGCCAAGGAGUUCUUCCAAUGUCCCUUGAGAGGACACCGCAGGGGUUUUUUCGUAAUAAGGACUUCUGAGAAGGCAAUGUGUGGACUCCUGGUUUCAUGUAAAUAUUUAUUUAAAUUUUUGUCUCUGAAAGCAAAGCAUUUAUCUCCUGACUUCCCUGCUACUGUUGAACUGGGCAUGCAUUUUCCUAAGCUAAUAAAAACCUUCCCCUAUGAUUCUGUAAUUUCCAAAGGAACAGCAUGAAGUCACUUUUCUUUUUCUUGUCCCCACACGUUCAGCUUGACUUGUGCUCAAAGACAGGGAUGACUUCAUAGCAAUAUGUGGUGAAUUGUUAUUUUGGAGGGGGAUUUGCAAGUUUAGGGCUAAAAUAUGGUGUGUAAGAAAAGGCUUUUUUUGUAGCAUUAGAUAAAUGCUUUUGCAUGAGGUGUUGAAGGUCAGUUGUUUUACCAGUUCAAAGGGAGAAAACCAAACCAGGCUGACGGUGACACUCCUUUCAGCAAGGCUUGGUAUAUAUUUGAGCAAUUAUUUCAGCAGGGUUUUUUCUGUUAAUGCUGCUUUUGGUUGUGUUUGCUUUGCCAUGCAUUUAACUCAUUGUCAGUGUUUCUCAUACAGUAGGAGUGUUCCUCCUAGUGAGUGUUUUCCACUCAAAGCAAGCAAUUGUGGUAUAAAGCAAGAAGAAUCUCAAAAAGUGGUUUACAGUUUGUUUUGGAUUUGGCUUUGGAUUUUUUUUUUUAAUUUUUUUUUAACCCAACACUCUUUAACUCUACGACUGUGAGUUUUCUAGUUUUCUCCAAAAACUUGGCAUGAAUUUCCCCUUUCUGUCCCAUUGGUAGAUACUGUUUCUCUUAGAAAAGCUUCUACCCUCCACCUUCACUGCCCUGUUUUGAAGCAGUGCUCCAGUUUAGCCUGCAGCAAUGGCUCUUGCAUCCUUUUCCAUUCAGGUAAUUAAAACCUGAAGUAAAACUAACAUUUCGUUGUUGCCAUACCUGCCACAGGAGCUCACAUUACUGCAGUGUAAUUUGUGAGGCAGCUGAGAGGAGAGGGAAGGACUGGGUCAGAGUUCCUAAGGAACUCAGAAUUUCAG
Molecule: long non-coding RNA, 1731 nt
Organism: Catharus ustulatus (Swainson's thrush)
Lineage: Eukaryota; Metazoa; Chordata; Aves; Passeriformes; Turdidae
Exons: 2
Source: RefSeq, a predicted model, not a curated record